GAAAGAUGGCUUUGGCUAUCACUCUGGGAUGGACCUGCGGUGCAUUAGCUAGUUGGUAAGGUAACGGCUUACCAAGGCGAUGAUGCAUAGCCGAGUUGAGAGACUGAUCGGCCACAAUGGAACUGAGACACGGCCCAUACUCCUACGGGAGGCAGCAGUAGGGAAUCUUCCACAAUGGGCGCAAGCCUGAUGGAGCAACACCGCGUGAGUGAAGAAGGGUUUCGGCUCGUAAAGCUCUGUUGUUGGAGAAGAACGUGCGUGAGAGUAACUGUUCACGCAGUGACGGUAUCCAACCAGAAAGUCACGGCUAACUACGUGCCAGCAGCCGCGGUAAUACGUAGGUGGCAAGCGUUAUCCGGAUUUAUUGGGCGUAAAGCGAGCGCAGGCGGUUGCUUAGGUCUGAUGUGAAAGCCUUCGGCUUAACCGAAGAAGUGCAUCGGAAACCGGGCGACUUGAGUGCAGAAGAGGACAGUGGAACUCCAUGUGUAGCGGUGGAAUGCGUAGAUAUAUGGAAGAACACCAGUGGCGAAGGCGGCUGUCUGGUCUGCAACUGACGCUGAGGCUCGAAAGCAUGGGUAGCGAACAGGAUUAGAUACCCUGGUAGUCCAUGCCGUAAACGAUGAGUGCUAGGUGUUGGAGGGUUUCCGCCCUUCA
RNAcentral lists this ribosomal RNA (654 nucleotides) under uncultured bacterium. RNAcentral's name for it is "bacterial SSU rRNA". It matches the Rfam family "Bacterial small subunit ribosomal RNA", at positions 202 to 842 of the family's 1533-position model. The record is from RNAcentral.